RNAcentral lists this ribosomal RNA (252 nucleotides) under uncultured bacterium. RNAcentral describes it as "partial 16S ribosomal RNA". It matches the Rfam family "Bacterial small subunit ribosomal RNA", at positions 525 to 776 of the family's 1533-position model. The record is from RNAcentral.
ACGUAGGGUGCGAGCGUUGUCCGGAAUUAUUGGGCGUAAAGAGCUUGUAGGCGGUUUGUCGCGUCUGCUGUGAAAGCCCGGGGCUUAACUCCGGGUCUGCAGUGGGUACGGGCAGGCUAGAGUGUGGUAGGGGAGACUGGAAUUCCUGGUGUAGCGGUGAAAUGCGCAGAUAUCAGGAAGAACACCGAUGGCGAAGGCAGGUCUCUGGGCCAUUACUGACGCUGAGAAGCGAAAGCAUGGGGAGCGAACAGG